This 357-nucleotide ribosomal RNA is filed under the name uncultured bacterium. RNAcentral describes it as "bacterial SSU rRNA". It matches the Rfam family "Bacterial small subunit ribosomal RNA", at positions 425 to 796 of the family's 1533-position model. The record is from RNAcentral.
GUAACCUCUUUNNCAGGGAAGAAGCGAGAGUGACGGUACCUGCAGAAGAAGCGCCGGCUAACUACGUGCCAGCAGCCGCGGUAAUACGUAGGGCGCAAGCGUUGUCCGGAAUUAUUGGGCGUAAAGAGCUCGUAGGCGGCUUGUCGCGUCGGUUGUGAAAGCCCGGGGCUUAACCCCGGGUCUGCAGUCGAUACGGGCAGGCUAGAGUUCGGUAGGGGAGAUCGGAAUUCCUGGUGUAGCGGUGAAAUGCGCAGAUAUCAGGAGGAACACCGGUGGCGAAGGCGGAUCUCUGGGCCGAUACUGACGCUGAGGAGCGAAAGCGUGGGGAGCGAACAGGAUUAGAUACCCUGGUAGUCC